UGCAAGUCGAGCGAACAGACGAAGUGCUUGCACUUCUGACGUUAGCGGCGAACGGGUGAGUAACACGUAAGGAAUCUACCUAUAAGCGGGGGAUAACAUUCGGAAACGGGUGCUAAUACCGCAUAAUAUCUUCUUCCGCAUGGAAGAAGAUUGAAAGACGGCUCUGCUGUCACUUAUAGAUGACCUUGCGGUGCAUUAGUUAGUUGGUGGGGUAAAGGCCUACCAAGACGAUGAUGCAUAGCCGACCUGAGAGGGUGAUCGGCCACAUUGGGACUGAGACACGGCCCAAACUCCUACGGGAGGCAGCAGUAGGGAAUCUUCCGCAAUGGGCGAAAGCCUGACGGAGCAAUGCCGCGUGAGUGAAGAAGGCCUUCGGGUCGUAAAACUCUGUUAUAAGAGAAGAACAAAUUGUAGAGUAACUGCUACAGUCUUGACGGUAUCUUAUCAGAAAGCCACGGCUAACUACGUGCCAGCAGCCGCGGUAAUACGUAGGUGGCAAGCGUUGUCCGGAUUUAUUGGGCGUAAAGGGAGCGCAGGUGGUUUCUUAAGUCUGAUGUGAAAGCCCACGGCUUAACCGUGGAGGGUCAUUGGAAACUGGGAAACUUGAGUACAGAAGAGGAAUGUGGAACUCCAUGUGUAGCGGUGGAAUGCGUAGAUAUAUGGAAGAACACCAGUGGCGAAGGCGACAUUCUGGUCUGUUACUGACACUGAGGCUCGAAAGCGUGGGGAGCGAACAGGAUUAGAUACCCUGGUAGUCCACGCCGUAAACGAUGAGUGCUAGGUGUUGGA
This 789-nucleotide ribosomal RNA is filed under the name Aerococcus sp. S7-SB-T2P11. Its description in RNAcentral is "bacterial SSU rRNA". It matches the Rfam family "Bacterial small subunit ribosomal RNA", at positions 56 to 827 of the family's 1533-position model. Lineage: Bacteria; Bacillati; Bacillota; Bacilli; Lactobacillales; Aerococcaceae. The record is from RNAcentral.